This 484-nucleotide ribosomal RNA is filed under the name uncultured bacterium. RNAcentral describes it as "partial 16S ribosomal RNA". It matches the Rfam family "Bacterial small subunit ribosomal RNA", at positions 30 to 507 of the family's 1533-position model. The record is from RNAcentral.
AUUGAACGCUAGCGGGAUGCUUUACACAUGCAAGUCGAACGGCAGCGCGGACUUCGGUCUGGCGGCGAGUGGCGAACGGGUGAGUAAUGUAUCGGAACGUGCCCAGUAGCGGGGGAUAACUACGCGAAAGCGUAGCUAAUACCGCAUACGCCCUACGGGGUAAAGCAGGGGAUCGUAAGACCUUGCACUAUUGGAGCGGCCGAUAUCGGAUUAGCUAGUUGGUGAGGUAACGGCUCACCAAGGCGACGAUCCGUAGCUGGUUUGAGAGGACGACCAGCCACACUGGGACUGAGACACGGCCCAGACUCCUACGGGAGGCAGCAGUGGGGAAUUUUGGACAAUGGGGGCAACCCUGAUCCAGCCAUCCCGCGUGUGCGAUGAAGGCCUUCGGGGUGUAAAGCACUUUUGGCAGGAAAGAAACGUCGCGGGCUAAUACCCCGUGGAACUGACGGUACCUGCAGAAUAAGCACCGGCUAACUACGUG